RNAcentral lists this ribosomal RNA (635 nucleotides) under uncultured delta proteobacterium. RNAcentral describes it as "partial 16S ribosomal RNA". It matches the Rfam family "Bacterial small subunit ribosomal RNA", at positions 1 to 593 of the family's 1533-position model. Lineage: Bacteria; Deltaproteobacteria. The record is from RNAcentral.
GUCGCAUGCUUCCGGGCGCCAUGGCGGCCGCGGGAAUUCGAUUAGAGUUUGAUCCUGGCUCAGAGCGAACGUUAGCGGCAGGCCUAACACAUGCAAGUCGCACGAGAAUUGGGCUUCGGCCCAUAGUAAAGUGGCGGACGGGUGCGUAACACGUGGAUAAUCUGCCCUUCGGCGGGGGACAACAGUCCGAAAGGAUUGCUAAUACCGCAUACGUCGGCGAGCUCUUCGGAGCACGUCGGGAAAGACGGCCUCUUCAUGAAAGCUGUCACCGGAGGAUGAGUCCGCGGCCCAUCAGCUAGUUGGCGGGGUAAUGGCCCACCAAGGCAUAGACGGGUAGCUGGUCUGAGAGGAUGAUCAGCCACACUGGAACUGAGACACGGUCCAGACUCCUACGGGAGGCAGCAGUGGGGAAUAUUGGGCAAUGGGCGCAAGCCUGACCCAGCCAUGCCGCGUGAGUGAUGAAGGCCUUCGGGUCGUAAAGCUCUGUGGGGAGGGAAGAAAAACCGCCUGGCUAAUAUCCAGGCGGCCUGACGGUACCUCCUUAGCAAGCUCCGGCUAACUCCGUGCCAGCAGCCGCGGUAAUACGAAUCACUAGUGAAUUCGCGGCCGCCUGCAGGUCGACCAUAUGGGAGAGC